AUCUCUUGGUUCCAGCAUCGAUGAAGAACGCAGCGAAAUGCGAUAAGUAAUGUGAAUUGCAGAACUCAGUGAAUCAUCGAAUCUUUGAACGCACAUUGCGCCCCUCGGUAUUCCGGGGGGCAUGCCUGUUCGAGCGUCAUU
Molecule: ribosomal RNA, 141 nt
Filed under: Usnea subfloridana
Lineage: Eukaryota; Fungi; Ascomycota; Lecanoromycetes; Lecanorales; Parmeliaceae
Description: 5.8S ribosomal RNA
Rfam family: 5.8S ribosomal RNA
About the family: 5.8S ribosomal RNA (5.8S rRNA) is a component of the large subunit of the eukaryotic ribosome. It is transcribed by RNA polymerase I as part of the 45S precursor that also contains 18S and 28S rRNA.
Source: RNAcentral